AUUUCGGUGGUGUAGUGGUAGCACGCGUCCGCGCUAUGGACGAAACGCCGGUUUGACUCCCGUCUGAGGUC
Non-coding RNA from Parelaphostrongylus tenuis, 71 nucleotides. NCBI's taxonomy places the organism in Eukaryota, Metazoa, Nematoda, Chromadorea, Rhabditida, Metastrongylidae. The record is from the annotation of a GenBank genome assembly.